GAGGUGGGAUGACGUCAAGUCCUCAUGGCCCUUAUGGGUAGGGCUUCACACGUGCUACAAUGGUGGUGACAAUGGGUUAAUCCCAAAAAGCCAUCUCAGUUCGGAUUGGGGUCUGCAACUCGACCCCAUGAAGUCGGAAUCGCUAGUAAUCGCGUAACAGCAUGACGCGGUGAAUACGUUCCCGGACCUU
Molecule: ribosomal RNA, 190 nt
Filed under: uncultured Paracoccaceae bacterium
Lineage: Bacteria; Pseudomonadati; Pseudomonadota; Alphaproteobacteria; Rhodobacterales; Paracoccaceae
Description: uncultured Rhodobacteraceae bacterium partial 16S ribosomal RNA
Rfam family: Bacterial small subunit ribosomal RNA
Source: RNAcentral